AGUGCUUGCACUUUGGCAGACUGAGUGGCGGACGGGUGAGUAACGCGUGGGUAACCUGCCUUAUACAGGGGGAUAACAGUUGGAAACGACUGCUAAUACCGCAUAAGCGCACGGUAUCGCAUGAUACAGUGUGAAAAACUCCGGUGGUACAGGAUGGGCCCGCGUCUGAUUAGCUGGUUGGCGGUGUAACGGACCACCAAGGCAACGAUCAGUAGCCGGCUUGAGAGAGUGAACGGCCACAUUGGGACUGAGACACGGCCCAAACUCC
RNAcentral lists this ribosomal RNA (268 nucleotides) under uncultured Lachnospiraceae bacterium. RNAcentral's name for it is "partial 16S ribosomal RNA". It matches the Rfam family "Bacterial small subunit ribosomal RNA", at positions 75 to 339 of the family's 1533-position model. Lineage: Bacteria; Bacillati; Bacillota; Clostridia; Lachnospirales; Lachnospiraceae. The record is from RNAcentral.